This 224-nucleotide long non-coding RNA is filed under the name Homo sapiens (human). RNAcentral describes it as "non-protein coding lnc-BANP-11:1". The record is from RNAcentral. Lineage: Eukaryota; Metazoa; Chordata; Mammalia; Primates; Hominidae.
GACCUAGUUCAGCCCAGAGCAGAUGGGAGGAAGCUCCAGCCUGACCACCGCCCCCUUUCCCAGGCAGGGUCCUAGGCAGCAGCGGGUUGAGGGUCAGCCUGGUUCCCACAGCGAGGAUGCUAGCCAUUGCCUGAAAGCAUGAGGCAUCUCCGGCACAUGGGGCUUGGCACUGUCUCUAAAGCCCAGGCUCAUCCAACAAAAGCAGAGAGGACGCAUCCGCCUGG